This 424-nucleotide ribosomal RNA is filed under the name uncultured bacterium. Its description in RNAcentral is "bacterial SSU rRNA". It matches the Rfam family "Bacterial small subunit ribosomal RNA", at positions 355 to 794 of the family's 1533-position model. The record is from RNAcentral.
UGGGGAAUCUUGCGCAAUGGACGAAAGUCUGACGCAGCAACGCCGCGUGAGGGACGAAGGCUUCUGAGUUGUAAACCUCUUUCGACAGGAACGAUUGUGACGGUACCUGUAGAAGAAGCACCGGCCAACUAUGUGCCAGCAGCCGCGGUGAUACAUAGGGUGCGAGCGUUAUUCGGAUUUAUUGGGCGUAAAGAGCUCGUAGGCGGUUCGACAAGUCGGGUGUUAAACCCCCCAGGCUUAACCUGGGGCCGCCACCCGAAACUGUCGUGACUAGAGUUUGGUAGGGGAUCACGGAAUUCCUGGUGUAGCGGUGGAAUGCGCAGAUAUCAGGAGGAACACCAGUAGCGAAGGCGGUGAUCUGGGCCAAUACUGACGCUGAGGAGCGAAAGCGUGGGGAGCGAACAGGAUUAGAUACCCCAGUAGU